This 450-nucleotide ribosomal RNA is filed under the name uncultured bacterium. RNAcentral describes it as "bacterial SSU rRNA". It matches the Rfam family "Bacterial small subunit ribosomal RNA", at positions 328 to 792 of the family's 1533-position model. The record is from RNAcentral.
UAGCCAGACUCCUACGGGAGGCAGCAGUGGGGGAUAUUGGACAAUGGGGGAAACCCUGAUCCAGCGACGCCGCGUGAGUGAAGAAGUCUUUCGGUAUGUAAAGCUCUAUCAGCAGGGAAGGAAGAAAUGACGGUACCUGAGUAAGAAGCCCCGGCUAACUACGUGCCAGCAGCCGCGGUAAUACGUAGGGGGCAAGCGUUAUCCGGAUUUACUGGGUGUAAAGGGAGCGUAGACGGUUAUGUAAGUCUGGAGUGAAAGCCCGGGGCCCAACCCCGGGACUGCUUUGGAAACUGUGUAACUGGAGUACAGGAGGGGCAGGCGGAAUUCCUGGUGUAGCGGUGAAAUGCGUAGAUAUCAGGAGGAACACCGGCGGCGAAGGCGGCCUGCUGGACUGAAACUGACGUUGAGGCUCGAAAGCGUGGGGAGCAAACAGGAUUAGAUACCCGGGUA